GGGGAAUUGGUGCAGUGGUAGGACACUGGCAAAGAAAGCCAGAGGACCUAGGUUCCAACCCUAGAUUCUCCA
This 72-nucleotide transfer RNA is filed under the name Pestalotiopsis fici W106-1. RNAcentral describes it as "tRNA-Ser (AGA) (tRNA-Ser-AGA-4-1)". It matches the Rfam family "tRNA". From Rfam's summary of the family: Transfer RNA (tRNA) molecules are approximately 80 nucleotides in length. Their secondary structure includes four short double-helical elements and three loops (D, anti-codon, and T loops). Further hydrogen bonds mediate the characteristic L-shaped molecular structure. tRNAs have two regions of fundamental functional importance: the anti-codon, which is responsible for specific mRNA codon recognition, and the 3' end, to which the tRNAs corresponding amino acid is attached (by aminoacyl-tRNA synthetases). tRNAs cope with the degeneracy of the genetic code in two manners: having more than one tRNA (with a specific anti-codon) for a particular amino acid; and 'wobble' base-pairing, i.e. permitting non-standard base-pairing at the 3rd anti-codon position. Lineage: Eukaryota; Fungi; Ascomycota; Sordariomycetes; Amphisphaeriales; Sporocadaceae. The record is from RNAcentral.